Molecule: unclassified non-coding RNA, 416 nt
Filed under: Hevea brasiliensis (rubber tree)
Lineage: Eukaryota; Viridiplantae; Streptophyta; Magnoliopsida; Malpighiales; Euphorbiaceae
Source: RNAcentral
GUUUUCCAGGGUCUUUUCCCUCUGUUCGAUCCCUUCCAAAAUAAAGAGAGGAAAGAACUGAAGGUCGUGAGGCUGCGGGACAGUUCCUUUUGCGUCAGAGGAAAUCAAUCUAAUAGCUUUCUUCCUAUCGUAGUGCUCUAAAAGUUGUGAGAACGACGAGUGAGAGCAUCUCGGAGUCCCUCUACUCAAGAGUCUAAGCUCAAGGAAGGGCAGGGAGAAAGCCCUUUUUUUUAUUAGUUUUUCGGGUACUAAACCCGGGUGGCAACCUAUGUCCAGCCCUAGAUUCUGCUUAAGACUUUGUAGGAGGUUUCAAUAGGAGGGCGACCAGAACCCUUUUCCGAGAGAAUCCUUGGAAAUACUCCCAUGCGUGAUUUCUGACUAGAGAACUUAUUAACAUAUUAUAGGUCUUCCUUUAA